GGGAUUUUUCAUAUGGUUCAGUGGUAGAAUGCUCGCCUGCCACGCGGGCGGCCCGGGUUCGAUUCUCGGCCGAUGCA
Molecule: transfer RNA, 77 nt
Filed under: Cordylochernes scorpioides
Lineage: Eukaryota; Metazoa; Arthropoda; Arachnida; Pseudoscorpiones; Chernetidae
Description: tRNA-Gly
Rfam family: tRNA (bases 14-69)
About the family: Transfer RNA (tRNA) molecules are approximately 80 nucleotides in length.
Source: RNAcentral